The sequence is a transfer RNA, 108 nucleotides long. It matches the Rfam family "tRNA". From Rfam's summary of the family: Transfer RNA (tRNA) molecules are approximately 80 nucleotides in length.
GGCAAGAUGGCCGAGCGGUCCAAGGCGUGUGACUCAAGCGAAAGCUUGCCUGCAGUGCAGGUUUCUCAUCUGGGUAUCCAGGCGCGAGUUCGAAUCUCGCUCUUGUCA